CAGCUCCAAUAGCGUAUAUUAAAGUUGUUGCGGUUAAAAAGCUCGUAGUUGGAUCUCGGCAGGUAGGGGGCGGUUCGUUUCUUCGUUUCUGGCGGCACUGCCCCAUUUACCUGUGUUUUUGACGGAGGUCUCAUGGUACUCUUUACCGAGUGUCCUGAUACGCCGUCAGGUUUACUUUGAAAAAAUUAGAGUGCUCAACACAGGCUACAAGCUUCAAUAUUUGUGCAUGGAAUAAUGGAAUAGGAAGUCGUUUCUAUUUUUUGUUGGUUUUAUGAAAUUGACUUAAUGAUUUAUAGGGACAGCCGGGGGCAUUAGUAUUCAGACGACAGAGGUGAAAUUCUUGGACCGUUUGAAGACUAACUACUGCGAAAGCAUUUGCCAAGAGUGUUUUCAUUAAUCAAGAACGAAAGUUAGAGGUUCGAAGGCGAUCAGAUACCGCCCUAGUUCUAACCAUAAACGAUGCUGACUAGCGAUCCGUAGCUGUUUUCUAUGUAGGCUCUACGGGAAGCUUCCGGGAAACCAAACUUUUUGAGUUCCGGGGGAAGUAUGGUUGCAAAGCUGAAACUUAAAGGAAUUGACGGAAGGGCACCACCAGGAGUGGAGCCUGCGGCUUAAUUUGACUCAACACGGGAAAUCUCACCAGGCCCGGACACUGGAAGGAUUGACAGAUUGAGAGCUCUUUCUCGAUUCAGUGGGUGGUGGUGCAUGGCCGUUCUUAGUUGGUGGAGUGAUUUGUCUGGUUAAUUCAGAUAACGAACGAGACCCUGUCCUGCUAAAUAGGUUUGCCGUCUGUUUUGCGGUAACAUUCUUCUUAGAGGGACUGGCGGCUUCUAGCCGCACGAGAUUGAGCAAUAACAAGGUCUGUGAUGCCCUUAGAUGUUCUGGGCUGCACACGCGCUACACUGAAUGGAUCAGC
This 916-nucleotide ribosomal RNA is filed under the name uncultured organism. RNAcentral's name for it is "bacterial SSU rRNA". It matches the Rfam family "Eukaryotic small subunit ribosomal RNA", at positions 586 to 1516 of the family's 1831-position model. The record is from RNAcentral.